GAUGAACGCUGGCGGCGUGCUUAACACAUGCAAGUCGAACGGUGAACACGGAGCUUGCUCUGUGGGAUCAGUGGCGAACGGGUGAGUAACACGUGAGCAACCUGCCCCUGACUCUGGGAUAAGCGCUGGAAACGGCGUCUAAUACUGGAUAUGUGACGUGACCGCAUGGUCUGCGUUUGGAAAGAUUUUUCGGUUGGGGAUGGGCUCGCGGCCUAUCAGCUUGUUGGUGAGGUAAUGGCUCACCAAGGCGUCGACGGGUAGCCGGCCUGAGAGGGUGACCGGCCACACUGGGACUGAGACACGGCCCAGACUCCUACGGGAGGCAGCAGUGGGGAAUAUUGCACAAUGGGCGCAAGCCUGAUGCAGCAACGCCGCGUGAGGGAUGACGGCCUUCGUGUUGUAAACCUCUUUUAGCAGGGAAGAAGCGAAAGUGACGGUACCUGCAGAAAAAGCGCCGGCUAACUACGUG
RNAcentral lists this ribosomal RNA (469 nucleotides) under uncultured bacterium. RNAcentral describes it as "partial 16S ribosomal RNA". It matches the Rfam family "Bacterial small subunit ribosomal RNA", at positions 28 to 507 of the family's 1533-position model. The record is from RNAcentral.